GUGGGGAAUCUUGCGCAAUGGGCGAAAGCCUGACGCAGCCAUGCCACGUGAAUGAUGAAGGUCUUAGGAUUGUAAAAUUCUUUCACCGGGGACGAUAAUGACGGUACCCGGAGAAGAAGCUCCGGCUAACUUCGUGCCAGCAGCCGCGGUAAUACGAAGGGGGCUAGCGUUGCUCGGAAUUACUGGGCGUAAAGGGCGCGUAGGCGGACAGCUUAGUCAGAGGUGAAAGCCCAGGGCUCAACCUUGGAAUUGCCUUUGAUACUGGCUGUCUUGAGUUUGGGAGAGGUGAGUGGAACUCCGAGUGUAGAGGUGAAAUUCGUAGAUAUUCGGAAGAACACCAGUGGCGAAGGCGACUCACUGGCCCAAUACUGACGCUGAGGCGCGAAAGCGUGGGGAGCAAACAGGAUUAGAAACCCCUGUAGUCC
This 425-nucleotide ribosomal RNA is filed under the name uncultured bacterium. RNAcentral describes it as "partial 16S ribosomal RNA". It matches the Rfam family "Bacterial small subunit ribosomal RNA", at positions 354 to 796 of the family's 1533-position model. The record is from RNAcentral.